Long non-coding RNA from Apis cerana (Asiatic honeybee), 3230 nucleotides. RefSeq lists it as uncharacterized. The record is from RefSeq and is a predicted model, not a curated record. Lineage: Eukaryota; Metazoa; Arthropoda; Insecta; Hymenoptera; Apidae.
GAGAGACAGGAAAAGGAGAUCGCCAUGAGAUUCGAUCGAUACGAGCGACCCUGACGGUCAUGGUGAAUACGAAGCUAAGACGAGGUCUCACGAGCCCCAUAAGGAAACGCAUCUCGAUCCCUUGUUCCUGCGAUUUCUCUGGUUCACCUCGUGCAAAAAGGAAACGUGUCGUCUAUGAAGAACUCGCCGGAUGACAUUGGCCGCAAGUCGGUGUUUUGCUUUCGUUCCACUUCUAUCUUGUUUUUGGAACGCACGAAUUCGUGAUUUAUUUAACUAUUAAAUGACACGGGACUUGACCAUCUAUAUUCGAUCAAAUCUGUUCGCAGUAUUCGUUGCAAAAAAACACGUUGCAUCAUCUAGCAAGAGAUCACGCUCGGCCUCGAGAGGUUGUUUUCCACGAGAAGGCUUGUGGAUACGAAGAUGGUUUACUUACAAUGUUUUCUUUCAAGUACUAUUUAGGAAAUGCAAAAUGCUGCUUUGAAAUUUAAUUAAGAAAGUAUGUUCGUUUGAACAUUACCGAAGUGGUUGAGUUAAGAAUGAUUUUAAGAUUAUUUAGAUAUAUUUAAUGAAAAUUAUGAAAAUUAUAUAUUUUAUAACAUGUAGGAUUAUAUAUUUUAUAUUUUUUAAUCUUCAUUGAAUUUAUUUAUCACUGAAUCAUUGAAAUUUACAUUAUUAUAUUAAUAUUAAGAUAUGAGAUAUAAUAUUAUAUCUUAAUUGAAAUUAUUUCUCUUAUAUAAACAAAUGAGAAUUUUUUUUUAGAGUACCAAUUUGCAUGAUCAAUAAUAAAUAUAUAAUUAAGAAUAUGAAAAUGAAGAAUUUGAUAUUCUGAAUAUUAAUUUGAAUAUGCAUCAAUUAAUUAGAAAAUUAAAAAAAAAUAUAUAUAUAUAUAUAUAUUAUAUCCAGUAUUAAAUAGAAUGUAAAUAAAAUAUUUUCUAUAACAAGAAAAAUAAUAUAUAAAUAUCAAAUGUAAAAAAGAUUUAAAUUUUGAAAAUAUGAAUCUAAUCACAUUGAACAACUUCAAGACAUUAUAAUGAUAAAAUGAGUGGAAUCCGUAUUAAAUUUAGACGAACCAUGGCGAUGAUUGACCGAAAAAAAAUAGAAAACCACUUGAUACACGUGUUUACGCGACGCCUACUCAAUUAUUCUUGACCUAGAUAUAAGCAAAGGGCGGGCUUAGCAAAUACUUCCUUUUCUUAUUAGAUUAGAGCACUGCCCUUUCAUGAAAUGGAUAUCGAUAUCACGCGAGCUUUUUAUUUAUGAUUCGUUCACAUAAUGGAAAUUUCUAUCAUGAGAUACAACCAAUAUACAUAUGAACAGAUUUCUAUUCAUAAAUUUAUAAAGAUUAAUAUCUCAUAUAAUCUCAAAGUAAUAUUUUUGUAAAGUAAAUGUUAUGAAUUUCCAACAAAACUAGUAGACAUAAUACAAUUUUGAAAGCUUUUAUACAUAAAACUAAAUUUUUUUUAUCUACAAACCUUUGAGAAAUGAUAAUUCUAUAUAUCUAAAUUGAUCUCAUGUUAAGAUAUACAAGGAUCUUAUUAGUGAUUAAACUUCAUGACAAAUUAAUCUUAAAAAUCAAUAAUAUUAUACAUACUUUAAAUAUAGACAUUAUAUGAAAUACACUUUUAGAUAUGGUAAUGAAACUAGAGAGAGAAAAGAAAAGCUGUGCAGCCAUCUUUAUAAUAUAUUAAUUGAUGGUAUUAUACAAACAAAUUUAAUUAUUAACAGUUAUAAUUAAUAAGUUAUAAUUAAUAAUUAUCAGUAUAUGUAAUAGUUUUUCUUAAAGUUAUAAAGUUUAUUGCCAUUUAUCAUUAUUUGACACACAAAUAUAGCUUAUAAAUAUAAUAUAAAUUCAUAAUUUUAUAUAUGUAUUGAUGCGUUUUUCAGUUUGAAUGCCAACUUGUAGAAUCUGUAAUAAUGUUAGAAAAAUUUCGCUUAGAUUAAAAAUAUUAACAUGCAUUCUGUGACUAAUUGAUAGUUUUUAUAGAGGUUAUGUGCUGAUUAAAUGUACGACGAGUCAUCACUGAUUUAUGAAGGAUCUCUUUAAAAUCUUUGAAAUAAAUAUGGACACAUGAACAAAGUAUAAUCGAUGGAUCAAAGCGAAUAUCAUUGUUUUUUUAAUAUAAAAGUUACAAUAUACAAUAUUUGAAUUGAUCUAUUCAGGUACACAGUUUUCUUCCAUUUCAUUAAAUAAACUUCAAUACAAAAUCGUAAAAUUUUUUAGAAUAUUAGCACUUAUUGACUGAUCUACAUAUAAUAGUGAGAAAUUGUAAUGUAAGUUUUUUCAUACUAGUUUAAAGUCUAUUGUAUACUAUUGGAUACGUCGUACAAUAAAGACGAUCGCGUAGUGAUAGUAAGUCGUCAUCAGAAUUUCCAAUUCAGAUCUUUAUCACGACAUUCCUUUAUUUGUGCAGCAUUCGUCACGAUCAAGUCAGGUGCAGCGUCGUUAGCGACGUGGAAUACCGAUAUCUUGUCGCGUGUCGCUUCUUUCGUAACCGAUUUCCGCGUUCACUAAGGAAACAGGAAAAAUAAUUGCAUUGUAUUUUCUUUAAUUCGCGAAGAAAGGGAAAAUAUUUUUCACGUGCCGUUCUUGAAUUUCGAUUCCUCAUUUAUUCAUCAUGAUAUUAAAUUUUCGAUCUUUAAUAACUUUGAAAAAUUUUCUAGAUAAAUUACUUAGAAUUUUAUUGCUUUCAAUUAUUAUUAAAUUUUUUUUAUUUUUAUAAUCCUAAUAUAAUUACAAAUAAUAUGAGUCAUUCUUUUUAAAGUUUUAAUUUAACUUGUUUCAUUAUACAAAAUUUAACAUUGUAAUCAUUUAAUGAAUUUUAUAUUUUAAAAAUAAAUUAACAAUCUUUCUCUAAUGAUUAAUGCAAGAAUUUUUUUAACAGAUUGACGACGAUAUUUUUUCCUCAGGUACACCUCUAUUUUUAUUUUCUUAAUUACAUAUUGUGAUUUCUUCGAGUGAUAAACGAAAAAGAAAAAGAAAAAAUAGAAGCAAAGGAAAAAAAAUUUAUGGAUGAACUGAUUUAGAUAAAUAAGAUAGAGAGAUACAAGAGAGAAAAAUAGAAAUGAUUAUUCGUGAAUGGACCACGAAAAUCAAUAGAAAAAAGCAAAAGGAUGAUCACGGCGAGGGAAAAGUAAAAGGAGGCCAACAGUCGCGAUCACGACUGUGAACCAUGAAAAUAUGUAUGCACAAAGUGCGCAGCAAAAUAAAGUGUUUCAUAAACAUAGAAAAA